AUGCUGUUUGAAAAUACAGAGGAAAAUUGGAAUGUUAUAGAGAAGAUUAGCAUGGUCCCUGCACAAGGAAGACACACGAGUAAUUUGAGGGAAAGGAUGAAAUA
Small nuclear RNA from Arvicanthis niloticus (Nile rat), 104 nucleotides. NCBI's taxonomy places the organism in Eukaryota, Metazoa, Chordata, Mammalia, Rodentia, Muridae. The record is from RefSeq and is a predicted model, not a curated record.